GACGAACGCUGGCGGCGUGCUUAACACAUGCAAGUCGAACGGAAAGGCCCUGCUUUUGUGGGGUGCUCGAGUGGCGAACGGGUGAGUAACACGUGAGUAACCUGCCCUUGACUUUGGGAUAACUUCAGGAAACUGGGGCUAAUACCGGAUAGGAGCUCCUGCUGCAUGGUGGGGGUUGGAAAGUUUCGGCGGUUGGGGAUGGACUCGCGGCUUAUCAGCUUGUUGGUGGGGUAGUGGCUUACCAAGGCUUUGACGGGUAGCCGGCCUGAGAGGGUGACCGGCCACAUUGGGACUGAGAGACGGCGCAGACUCCUACGGGGGGCAGCAGUGGGGAAUAUUGCACAAUGGGCGGGAGCCUGAUGCAGCAACGCCGCGUGCGGGAUGACGGCCUUCGGGUUGUAAGCCGCUUUCGCCUGUGACGAAGCGUGAGUGACGGUAAUGGGUAAAGAAGCACCGGCUAACUACGUG
RNAcentral lists this ribosomal RNA (468 nucleotides) under uncultured bacterium. RNAcentral's name for it is "partial 16S ribosomal RNA". It matches the Rfam family "Bacterial small subunit ribosomal RNA", at positions 28 to 507 of the family's 1533-position model. The record is from RNAcentral.